GACAGAGGGUGCAAACGUUUGUUCGGAAUUACUGGGAGUAAAGCGCGUGUAGGCGGUCUCGCAAGUCGGAUGUGAAAGCCCAGGGCUCAACCCUGGAAGUGCACUCGAUACUGCGAGGCUAGAGUCCCGGAGAGGAUGGUGGAACUCUCGGUGUAGAGGUGAAAUUCGUAGAUAUCGAGAAGAACACCGGUGGCGAAGGCGGCCAUCUGGACGGUGACUGACGCUGAGACGCGAAAGCGUGGGGAGCAAACAGG
This 254-nucleotide ribosomal RNA is filed under the name uncultured bacterium. Its description in RNAcentral is "partial 16S ribosomal RNA". It matches the Rfam family "Bacterial small subunit ribosomal RNA", at positions 524 to 776 of the family's 1533-position model. The record is from RNAcentral.